UACGGAGGGUGCGAGCGUUGUCCGGAAUCAUUGGGCGUAAAGGGCGCGUAGGUGGCCCGGUCAGUCUUUGGUGAAAGCGCGGGGCUCAACCCUGCGUCGGCCAGGGAUACUGCCGCGGCUCGAGCACUGUAGAGGCAGGCGGAAUUCCGGGUGUAGCGGUGGAAUGCGUAGAGAUCCGGAAGAACACCGGUGGCGAAGGCGGCUCUCUGGACGGUGACUGACGCUGAGACGCGAAAGCGUGGGGAGCAAACAGG
RNAcentral lists this ribosomal RNA (254 nucleotides) under uncultured bacterium. RNAcentral's name for it is "partial 16S ribosomal RNA". It matches the Rfam family "Bacterial small subunit ribosomal RNA", at positions 524 to 776 of the family's 1533-position model. The record is from RNAcentral.